GCACACUUAGCUCAAAUAUGGUUAGAGCAUCACUCAUGUAAAGUUGAGGUUGUGGGUUCAAGUCCCACAGUGUACA
RNAcentral lists this transfer RNA (76 nucleotides) under Uromyces viciae-fabae. RNAcentral's name for it is "tRNA-Thr (TGT) (tRNA-Thr-TGT-4 1 to 3)". It matches the Rfam family "tRNA". Rfam says of the family: Transfer RNA (tRNA) molecules are approximately 80 nucleotides in length. Their secondary structure includes four short double-helical elements and three loops (D, anti-codon, and T loops). Lineage: Eukaryota; Fungi; Basidiomycota; Pucciniomycetes; Pucciniales; Pucciniaceae. The record is from RNAcentral.